RNAcentral lists this non-coding RNA (24 nucleotides) under Arabidopsis thaliana (thale cress). The record is from RNAcentral. Lineage: Eukaryota; Viridiplantae; Streptophyta; Magnoliopsida; Brassicales; Brassicaceae.
UGCUUUGUCGCCUAUGCUAUCGUA